Cinara cedri is the source of this 201-nucleotide non-coding RNA. The record is from the annotation of a GenBank genome assembly. Lineage: Eukaryota; Metazoa; Arthropoda; Insecta; Hemiptera; Aphididae.
CUGUAUAUAUAAAUAUAACUAUGUCUAAUAUUUUAUAUUGUUUCGCGUCAAGGCUCUUUACGUGUGGGGGGGGGCUGUUUUUUUUUCGUCCACAAAGACGAAGACUUCCCAUACUAUAUAAUAGUGGCGCGCUACAGUUAACGAAACUUUUUUUCGUGAAUCUAAUGUGAUAUUUUCAACUUUACACGAGUUUUAACGACC